RNAcentral lists this long non-coding RNA (799 nucleotides) under Zonotrichia albicollis (white-throated sparrow). RNAcentral's name for it is "lncRNA (ENSZALG00000007846.1)". Lineage: Eukaryota; Metazoa; Chordata; Aves; Passeriformes; Passerellidae. The record is from RNAcentral.
UGAACAGGCUGUUUAAAGCCCUGCAGAAGAUAUAGUCACAGAGCUAUACACAGGAUGGCUCAACUGUGCUGCAACAUUAUUCUGGUGAAGAUCAUGGACCAGGGAGAAGCGCAUAAGGUGCUGUAAGGUCUGCAAAUGUGACAUACCGGUGUAUCUGUGCAUUCUGGUAGCCAGCUGUGACCUGCUAGGAAGACAGAAACAUGAAAAAUGGCAGAAAUAAGAAACAGUUAAAAGGAGAGCACUUGUUUAAAGAAGAUGCUAAUAAGUGAUGGCUUGCUGGGAAGACAAUGACACCAUAUGGUAAAGAAAACCUGCAGACUCCCAAGGGAGUACUUCUGCUCCUAGCCCAGCCCUCUCUAGCAGCCCUGCUGGAUACAGAAGAGUUGAGUUCCCCAUCAUCUCAGCUGGUGUCCUUAGUGUGGGUCCUGACAGUCUACUCUCCACACCCAAUCUCAUCUGUGGGCAAGAAGAGCCACAGAAGGACCAAGAAGAUAUCAUGCCAUGGCUCUCCAUUCUCAACCAGAUCCAGACCAUGCCUCUCAGGAGGGACACGUGGCCAGGUCCAUGCCAUCCCCCAUCCUGGUGCUCCUCAUGCAUGGUCCCAGCUCUGCAAUCAGUGUGGGACCACUCAGUGUCCUUGCCUUGGGGCUGACUUCUAGGUUUUUCAUUUCUGUGAUGGCCUCAGGAGAAGUUAGUGGUGCUGAGACAAACAAACAAACUGAACCUUCCUGGUCCCCUCCAAGUCUGAGAUAAGUAAAAUGAGUGUCAAGUGAGUAAUAAACUUGGGACUCAUUAGACA